UCUCCUGACCUCGUGAUCCGCCCUCCUCGGCCUCCCAAAGUACUGGGAUUACAGGAGUGAGUCACCACGCCCGGCCGGAUUAUGGAUUUUUAAGAGGAAAACCACAGAGGAGUUUUAAUACUUUAUAUCUUUCAAUAAAUUGGUAAAUAUCAUCUAACAUCAAAUUUGUGGGAAUAGCCCUGUUCAAUGAACACCUGGACUAUCCUUUAAUGAUGUCUACAUCAAUGGAAGCCAAGCCACACUGCUAACUGAUGAGAGACCAGCUUGAAAGAGGGAGGACCUGCCAAUUGCCAUCAGCACAACUCCAGAUAUAUGGGAGUCAGGCUUUAGGGCAAAAACCGGGGAUCACAGAAUGCUUGCUCAAUCAACUUUGCUCAUCCAAAAUCACAAAAAUCGCCUCAAAAAAUGUUGAUGAUAAUUUAAUUUUCUUCACUCUCCAUGAAGAUGUUAGAUAAUGCUCACUCUGGGUGAGAAUAAAAGCCAGACUCAUCAA
This 493-nucleotide long non-coding RNA is filed under the name Homo sapiens (human). RNAcentral describes it as "HSALNT0318984". Lineage: Eukaryota; Metazoa; Chordata; Mammalia; Primates; Hominidae. The record is from RNAcentral.